Molecule: ribosomal RNA, 497 nt
Filed under: uncultured bacterium
Lineage: Bacteria
Description: partial 16S ribosomal RNA
Rfam family: Bacterial small subunit ribosomal RNA
Source: RNAcentral
GAUGAACGCUGGCGGCGUGCCUAAUACAUGCAAGUCGAGCGAACGGACGAGAAGCUUGCUUCUCUGAUGUUAGCGGCGGACGGGUGAGUAACACGUGGAUAACCUACCUAUAAGACUGGGAUAACUUCGGGAAACCGGAGCUAAUACCGGAUAAUAUUUUGAACCGCAUGGUUCAAAAGUGAAAGGCGGUCUUGCUGUCACUUAUAGAUGGAUCCGCGCUGCAUUAGCUAGUUGGUAAGGUAACGGCUUACCAAGGCAACGAUGCAUAGCCGACCUGAGAGGGUGAUCGGCCACACUGGAACUGAGACACGGUCCAGACUCCUACGGGAGGCAGCAGUAGGGAAUCUUCCGCAAUGGGCGAAAGCCUGACGGAGCAACGCCGCGUGAGUGAUGAAGGUCUUCGGAUCGUAAAACUCUGUUAUUAGGGAAGAACAUAUGUGUAAGUAACUGUGCACAUCUUGACGGUACCUAAUAAGAAAGCCACGGCUAACUACGUG